AUCAAAGCCCAGAGAACCCAGCCCCAUCUGACACUCUUGCAAUAGAAUAAAAUGAGAAAACGACGAUGAUAACGUAUGAUAUACCACUAGGAGCUGGCAUGGAUGUGGGCUGCAUAUAAAAAGAACAACAUCUCAUGAAAUGGUAGCUGAUGAUUAGCAACACAAAAACUCAGCCUGCCAUUUUAAUCAGAGUCCUCACUACAAGUCUGCUCCCCUGGAGAUGUCCCACUGCCAUGAGCCUCCUGCCAGCUGAGCAGUGCUAAUGUCUGCACUGAGGAACAGGUUCAGGAAGAGUGACAAGAGGAAGGAGCACAGGAAGGUCUGGACUUGCCUCCUCUGUCCCCAGGGAGUUUCAGGCAGUAGGUGGGCUGAGUGCUGGACUGCAAAGAAAGCCUUGGGAUAUUUGGAUCCUCCUGGGAUUGCCCCAGGUGAUUAGGUCCUGGUGAAUUUUGGAGAGCUGCAUCCAAGUUUGCAGGAGACGGGGAGACGGCUGUUUCAUCUGGCUGCCACUUGCAGAAACCACACUGCUGCAGGUUUGACAUUAGCAGCGAAAUGAGGUGAUUUUCCCCUUGCUGAAGUUCAGAGUGCUCUUGAGGUUCCCGUGGUAAACAUGUGCCAUGCUGACACCAGUGCCAGGGGACAGAGGAAUUGCUGAAUACAACAUACAGAACACCUUGAAUUGUCCUCUUCAUCCCUCCUACAGAAAAACUGCCAAGAGUGCAAUGACUUGGUGAGCUCCUGGAGAAGACUUUUGCAGUGAGCAGGACUGUCCCUGAAGCAAAAGGAAGCUGGGAGAGCUUGGCUCUUCCCAAAGAAGAGAACUUUGAUCCUUCUCCUUGACUGGACUGCAAAACAGCAUUGCACCAUCAUUUCUAAUGGCUCAUGAACUCUGUGAGCACACCUUCUCAUCCUGGCCGUGGUACCCCUGUGCUGUGGUGAUGUGCUGUUGCACUUGUGCCUGCCUGAAGGAUGUACACUGCCCCCAGCUUUGAGGUGUGUCUCAGCACAGAAUCAUUGUGAAAGGCACACUGUUUCUCCUGAUAUAAGAGCCAUGAAGCCAGCCAAAAUGACAUUCUUUAAAGCCAAGUGGAAAGAAAAUGGCUUUGAAGCACAGGAAGACAUGAACAUUCAGUGUUUCCUUCCGCCCCUGUGGCUUUCACUGAGGCACUCCCAAUGAUUUCUAAGAUUCUGAGUUUGGCUAUACUACAACCAAGGAGCACCCCAAUCUCACAGUGAGAAGGUGCUUUGGGAGAACUGCAGAACAGGAAAAGGAAAUCACACAGGCACCAGCAAUUAUGAAGGUUCAAUGUAUUUAAAUGAUUUGAUUUGAUGCAGGAACUGGGAGGAAAUAUAACAGAAAGUAGAGAAGAAAACAAGCAAGUUUUUCUUUUAAAGCCAUUGUGAUUUAAUUGACAGGGCUACUGGCUGCAAUAAUGUGGUGCAUGUGCUGCUGUUACCAAGGGCUGUUAUGCUAUGAGCACGACAAAAAACACUGCAAAAAGAGGCUCAAUGGCAUAAACCUGGUCAAAUGAGGAAAACAAAAUCAACCCCUUAAUUGUGCAGUUUUGGGCAGGAAAAUUGCAUUCCAUUGUUUGGGUUUUUUAAAGGUGAUUUGGAUGAAAAACACUAGGUUGUGUCUUUGGGGUGUUUUCCUUCUUUGUAGCAUUUUAAAGUUACUUAAAUAAUUUUACAUUUCCACCCCCCAGGUUUUACUAUAUAUUAAAC
Long non-coding RNA from Poecile atricapillus (Black-capped chickadee), 1725 nucleotides. RefSeq lists it as uncharacterized. NCBI's taxonomy places the organism in Eukaryota, Metazoa, Chordata, Aves, Passeriformes, Paridae. The transcript is spliced from 7 exons. The record is from RefSeq and is a predicted model, not a curated record.